CCUACGGGAGGCAGCAGUGGGGAAUAUUGGACAAUGGGCGCAAGCCUGAUCCAGCCAUACCGCGUGUGUGAAGAAGGCCUUUUGGUUGUAAAGCACUUUAAGCGAGGAGGAGGCUCUUGAGGAUAAUACCCUUGAUGAGUGGACGUUACUCGCAGAAUAAGCACCGGCUAACUCUGUGCCAGCAGCCGCGGUAAUACAGAGGGUGCGAGCGUUAAUCGGAAUUACUGGGCGUAAAGCGCGCGUAGGCGGCUUGUUAAGUCGGAUGUGAAAUCCCCGGGCUCAACCUGGGCACUGCAUUCGAUACUGGCAAGCUAGAGUAUGGGAGAGGAAGGUAGAAUUCCAGGUGUAGCGGUGAAAUGCGUAGAGAUCUGGAGGAAUACCGAUGGCGAAGGCAGCCUUCUGGCCUAAUACUGACGCUGAGGUGCGAAAGCAUGGGGAGCAAACAGGAUUAGAUACCCUGGUAGUCCAUGCCGUAAACGAUGUCAACUAGCCGUUGGGGACCUUGAGUCUUUAGUGGCGCAGCUAACGCGAUAAGUUGACCGCCUGGGGAGUCGGUGCAAGCUUAAAACNGAAAGAUUGACGGNNGAGAGNGCGAGCGACACGAGGGAGAG
Molecule: ribosomal RNA, 611 nt
Filed under: uncultured bacterium
Lineage: Bacteria
Description: bacterial SSU rRNA
Rfam family: Bacterial small subunit ribosomal RNA
Source: RNAcentral